GCUGCCUGGAGCCCCCCUGGGGACUCGGCUCCCACCGUCCUUGCAUCCUCCAGCCUCCUGCAUGCUACCCUCCUACAGCCACGGAGCCGGGGAGGUGGGAGAUGGAGGAGGGAUGGAGGGAGAGGCUACAGGAGGACCAGUCAGCUAGAUGAGGUCAGCUGCUCUGAGGCAGCAGAAGCUUUCAUGGGAUUUGGAAGGAAGAAGGAAGAAGAGAGUAAUUUCGAAGCAUGAAACUGCCCUAAGGUUAAUAGAAUUAGGCGAGUCACCACAGUGGAUGUAAUUGGGAAGGCAGAAAAUAGCACAACAGAACUGUUUCCAGUAGGAUCAGAGAAGAAGGCAGGAGAAAGGAAAAGGACACAGCAAAAGAGGAGAUUGAGACAUCAGGGAAGUGACGCCAUGACAAGCAAGUGAAUUAGACUGAUUUAAGAGAGCGCUGUACAAAGUCACAGCCUUUACUUUCUCCUCUGGAGCUACCUGGGUCCAGUGGCAAGAUAUAGAUCAAGACGACUGGAGAUGGUCCUGAGGCAGUGGGAGUCUUUGGCCUUUUUAAGCUCAGGUCUUCAACAGGUCUCAGUUUGACUGAACAAUGCCCAUCAGUGAUUAUCCUUGCUCUUGUUACAAAUGUAACAUGGGUUAUAGAUGUAUUUUUUUUUAGGUUACUUUAUUUUUAUUUAUUUAUUUUUAAUUUUAAUAGAUUUUUAUUUACAAGUUAUAUGCAUGGGUAAUUUUACAGCAUUGACAAUUGCCAAACCUUUUGUUCCAAUUUUUCCCAUCCUUCCUCCCACCCCCUGCCCUAGAUGGCAGGAUGACCAAUACAUGUUAAAUAUAUUAGAGUAUAAAUUAAAUACAAAAUAAGUAUACAUGUCCAAACCAUU
This 875-nucleotide long non-coding RNA is filed under the name Sarcophilus harrisii (Tasmanian devil). RNAcentral's name for it is "lncRNA (ENSSHAG00000031188.1)". Lineage: Eukaryota; Metazoa; Chordata; Mammalia; Dasyuromorphia; Dasyuridae. The record is from RNAcentral.